CAAGCCCUGGAAACGGGGUCUAAUACCGGAUAUGACCACCGGCGGCAUGUCUUGGUGGUGGAAAGCUCUAGCGGUGCAGGAUGAGCCCGCGGCCUAUCAGCUUGUUGGUGGGGUGAUGGCCUACCAAGGCGACGACGGGUAGCCGGCCUGAGAGGGCGACCGGCCACACUGGGACUGAGACACGGCCCAGACUCCUACGGGAGGCAGCAGUGGGGAAUAUUGCACAAUGGGCGGAAGCCUGAUGCAGCGACGCCGCGUGAGGGAUGACGGCCUUCGGGUUGUAAACCUCUUUCAGCAGGGAAGAAGCCUUUGGGUGACGGUACCUGAAGAAGAAGCUCCGGCUAACUACGUGCCAGCAGCCGCGGUAAUACGUAGGGUGCAAGCGUUGUCCGGAAUUAUUGGGCGUAAAGAGCUCGUAGGCGGCUUGUUGCGUCGGAUGUGAAAGCCCGGGGCUUAACUCCGGGUCUGCAUUCGAUACGGGCAGGCUAGAGUUUGGUAGGGGAGAUCGGAAUUCCUGGUG
RNAcentral lists this ribosomal RNA (520 nucleotides) under uncultured Streptomyces sp. Its description in RNAcentral is "bacterial SSU rRNA". It matches the Rfam family "Bacterial small subunit ribosomal RNA", at positions 144 to 675 of the family's 1533-position model. The record is from RNAcentral. Lineage: Bacteria; Bacillati; Actinomycetota; Actinomycetes; Kitasatosporales; Streptomycetaceae.